UACCCUUGACAUGUCUGGAAUCCCGAAGAGAUUUGGGAGUGCUCGCAAGAGAACCGGAACACAGGUGCUGCAUGGCUGUCGUCAGCUCGUGUCGUGAGAUGUUGGGUUAAGUCCCGCAACGAGCGCAACCCUUGUCAUUAGUUGCUACGAAAGGGCACUCUAAUGAGACUGCCGGUGACAAACCGGAGGAAGGUGGGGAUGACGUCAAGUCCUCAUGGCCCUUAUGGGUAGGGCUUCACACGUCAUACAAUGGUCGGGACAGAGGGUUGCCAAGCCGCGAGGUGGAGCCAAUCCCAGAAACCCGAUCGUAGUCCGGAUUGCAGUCUGCAACUCGACUGCAUGAAGUCGGAAUCGCUAGUAAUCGCGGAUCAGAAUGUCGCGGUGAAUACGUUCCCGGGUCUUGUACACACCGCCCGUCACACCAUGGGAGUGGGUUUCACCAGAAGUAGGUAGCCUAACCGUAAGGGGGGCGCUUACCACGGUGGGAUUCAUGACUGGGGUGAAGUCGUAACAAGGUAAGCGUAGUGCU
Molecule: ribosomal RNA, 529 nt
Filed under: uncultured bacterium
Lineage: Bacteria
Description: bacterial SSU rRNA
Rfam family: Bacterial small subunit ribosomal RNA
Source: RNAcentral